UCCCCACUCCCCAGUUCCUCAACAGCUCGUGAGUGUUGAGCGGCAGUUUUGACGGUGAAUGGCGGGCGGCACCUGGCUUGGUGGUCGGCGGCAUGAUGCUCAGCGGGUUAGAUCGGCGAGAAUGGAUUCAGACGCGAAGCAUUUUGAGCAGGCGCGUGGCCUCGAUGUCGGGGCAGCGCAGCAGGUGGUGGUCGCGGCGGCGCUGCAAGUGGUGGUCGCGACCGCACUGCUAGUGGUGGUCACGGCGGCGUUGGUUCGACCACGGUCGCCACGGACUGUAGAAGGACGAGCAUCCCGCGCCGCCACCGGUAUUUAAGUGUCCUCCGUAAUUCCCUUUGGAUCUCAUUCUGUGCUGCCUCAUUUCUUGCACACGAGGUGUUUGUUUUAAUGCCUGAAUGGGAACUGCUACUGACAAUGUGCUCAAAGGAGACUCUUAACAGCGAUAUAUUGAUAGGUAUGCCAUGAUUGAUUAUCUUGUUGUUUGUUUCAUCUUUGUACAAUUACUGAUUUUGGAAUCUUAUGUUGCAUAUAUAUCUGCCAUAUAGUUUAUGAUGUCCAAUAAGGUUAGCUCUGCAUUAGGAUGCUUAUUACCUCACUAGUCCAGCCAAAGCUAAGCAUGUCUGCGUAUGAAAAGAUCCAUCUAGCAUCAGUCUCCUUCUCAAUGUUCAGUUUACAUCCUUAAUUUCACGAUAAUGCUUCUUGUAGUAACCUUGGAGGUGAUUUUUUUUUGGAAAGCCAUGAUGGAUGUUGGGAGUCGUUGCCGAGAGUAUGCAGGCAUUUAUUUCUUUAAAUCUACAAAAGCUAACAAACAUAAAACAGAAGCUACCAAAGAAAAUUCAGUUUAAAGAAAGAUGCAUCAGUCCACCUUGGUCUUUUAUGCUGAGUUCAUCAGUCAACUCCUUUAUUCUUCCAUGUUGCUCGCUUGACACUGUCUUCAAAUCUGUAAGCUUAUUUAUUUUUAUUCUGCAAGCUUUCUCUGAUUAAACAAUAUCUCAACAUGUUUCUCCAAAUUGCGUACUUCCAUUCUUGCACCUUCCAGCUCAACAGAAAAUUGUUUUGCAUAAGAUUCAGCUUCCCUUUUCUGAGAUGCAAUCUCUGAUCCGAUUGUGCUAAUUUGCACAUCUUUUUCCUGAAGUUCCUGCUGCAACUAAAGAACAAUCUCCUUAGUUCAUUUGUGUUGCCUUCUUUUACUACGCCAAGUAGUUUUUACAGACGCACCUAAUUGCUCAACUACUGAUUUUACAUAUGGUCAUAUGAAAAUAAAUGGUUCUACCCAGCAGAAUUGCUCGAGUUAUCAGGAGACAUUCCAGUCAUUCCUUCAAUCUCAGAACCAUACCGAAGAUCAUUGCAAUCAGUGGGAUUCAUGAUGCUAUGUUUCCUAUUUUUUUCCUUGGGCUCAUUCUGUGACUAUUUUUCUAUUUGAUGGAUGUUACUUGCCGUGUGUCGUCGUUCCUUGGUUAUUAGAUGUGUUUUGCUGCAUGAGGAGUUUUGCAUCCUGGGUUGCACUUGUUAUGUUCUGUUCCGGAGUUCCUGUAAGAGCUGGUACCCAGCAAACUAUCGCUUUUGUUAAAGCAGGGAUCGAACCUUUUGUCCAAAAAGGAACACUCCAUUUUUUCCAUUGGUGGGUGGUCAUCGAUUCGCAGUAGGCCAACUAGUCGUGCAACAUCGCUAGUGGUCCUCAGUGUCAGGUUUCGUUGACCGUUGGCUUGCUUAUUCAUGUGCUUUGCAUCUCCUCCCUGCAAGAUGGUCAGUAACCAGGUCUUCGCCGAUAGAGCUCUCCAGUGUCGCCCCCUCCCCAUAAAUUGGUAGGAGUAUAUGUCUAUUUAUCCGCCCAAUAUGGUUAUAUUUAUUAAAGAAGUUUAGUUAUCUGCCCAUAAGUCUGAAUCUUUAUUGACUUGUGGCUUCUUUGCUAUGGUUGAUUUUUUGUUAUUACUAGCAUGUUCUAAUAUGGACUGUCGCCUUGUGUCCCCUUGAUAACUGAUUGAAACUCCCAUCUAAAAAUUAGCAUGUACGGUCUUAUUUGUUAUGUUCCUUAAAAAAAAAUGUUCAGUACAAAUUUCAUCAUGGAUGUAAAUUAUCUUGUCAAGCUUUGAAGCUCAUAAUCUUAGAGAUUUAUGUUUACCUCUUUAGGAGGAGAUAUCACAAGUUUAAGGUUCCAUUUGUUCUUUGACAAUUUUCUCAUUUUGACCAUAUUACAUAAUUCUACUAGUUUCUGUUCACUUUGGUUCACUACUUCAUUCAGAUUCACAUAUUACAAUCUGUAGAACCUUUAUUUUUCAAUCCCUUUUUAAUGUGAUGUUCUAAUCCAAAUUAAUGUUCUGCAGACAAAGGCUACUCAGUACAGUGAUAAAGUUCUCUCCUAUAUCUUGUUCCAUGAUUUGAAUUAAUGCAAGCCUUUACCUGAUUCAUUGGAGAAAUUCAGGCCAUUAAAAUUACAUAGCUGCUCAUAUGUUAACAACCCAAAAUGCUCUCUCUUGUGCCUGGUCGUUGUAAUGUACUCCUCCGUAAACAAAUAUAAGAGCGUUUAUAUCACUACUUUAGUAAUCUAAAUGCUCUUAUAUUAGUUUACAGAGGGAGUACUUGUGUAUGUCUGCUUGGACGCUUAUUUUUACUAUCAAAUGGAUAUAUAUAUAUUAGCAAUGAGAACGGCGUCAGUCUUAUGUGUUAUACCUUUACAACAGCACAUCAUGCAUUCCCCCAUUUUGUGAUAUGAAGUUCAGACCAAAAACUUGUCAGGAUUGACUUUAAUCUCAUCCAAAAAUUCGUUCCACAUAGCCAUAAAUGUUCCUGUUAGUUAUCAGUGAAAAUUUUGGAUUAUUCCUAUACGGCUUUACAGAUAAUAGCUUUUUCACCUUUAUGUUCAUGUUUUGAGUUCAAAAUUAUAAUUAACUACAAAUACCCGUGAAAAUUCCAGUAAUUCACAAACGUGUCUAGUACUGGUCAUGCAAAUUUUGUGAUUAUUUGGGCAAUAUGUUUUUGAGAUAAGGUUUUGUUUCAGCUGGAUGUUCAAAUUGAGAGUUCAAAAUUAAAAAUGUGCUGAAGAAAUAAAAAGGAUUCCAGCAAUUAAUAAACGUUCUGGCCAGCAAACAGGUAUAAUACGAAAUAAUGUCAGAACAAUGAUUUUAGAGGUAAUGACGUUCCAAUAUCUUUUGGACUACUAGAGUCAUAAUGAAUAGCAGAACAUAUAUUUCACAUUCAAAAAUACCUACAAUUUUUUAACGCAGCCUUGUCAUAUUAAAAAUUCAGAU
Molecule: RNA transcript, 3248 nt
Organism: Triticum aestivum (bread wheat)
Lineage: Eukaryota; Viridiplantae; Streptophyta; Magnoliopsida; Poales; Poaceae
Exons: 3
Source: RefSeq, a predicted model, not a curated record